Transfer RNA from Pleurotus ostreatus PC15, 96 nucleotides. It matches the Rfam family "tRNA". Rfam says of the family: Transfer RNA (tRNA) molecules are approximately 80 nucleotides in length. Their secondary structure includes four short double-helical elements and three loops (D, anti-codon, and T loops). NCBI's taxonomy places the organism in Eukaryota, Fungi, Basidiomycota, Agaricomycetes, Agaricales, Pleurotaceae. The record is from Rfam.
GCCCGCCUAGCUCAAUCGGAUAGAGCGUCAGACUUUUACGGUCAGUCAAUUGGCUAGGCGAUCUGAAGGCUGCGAGUUCGACCCUCGCGGUGGGCU